GAUGAAGAACGCAGCGAAAUGCGAUAAGUAAUGUGAAUUGCAGAAUUCAGUGAAUCAUCGAAUCUUUGAACGCACCUUGCGCCCUUUGGCUAUUCCGAAGGGCAUGCCUGUUUGAGUAUCGUGAACACCUCAACUCUCAUGGUUUGCCAUGAUGAGCUUGGACUUUGGGGGUUUUGCUGGCCUUUGGUCGGCUCCUCUCAAACGGAUCAGCUUUCCAGUGUUUGGUGGCGUCACGGGUGUGAUAACUAUCUACGCCUGUGGUUUUCUGCCAGAUAACCUUCAGCGAUGGAGGUUCGCUGGUGCUCAUAAAUGUCUCUCGUCAGUGGAGACAGCUGUUUGGACGUUUGAUCUCAAAUCAGGUAGGACUACCCGCUGAACUUAAGCAUAUCAAUAAGCGGAGGA
RNAcentral lists this unclassified non-coding RNA (402 nucleotides) under soil metagenome. RNAcentral's name for it is "partial contains 5.8S ribosomal RNA, internal transcribed spacer 2, and large subunit ribosomal RNA". The stretch from base 1 to 121 matches the Rfam family "5.8S ribosomal RNA", at positions 35 to 154 of the family's 154-position model. The record is from RNAcentral.